CCCCUGUGGGUUCGGCCUGCCGCCGCCUCGGGGGCCUCUGACACUGCGCGCCAGGCCAGGUUCCGGAAAGCAGUCUGCGCCGGCGGCCCUCGCGCGCCUGCCUGCCCACAGCAGAGGGCUAGCAAGUACGCCUUCCCCCGCCAACCUCGUAGCACUGGGGUGUGGGCUAGGACGGGGUUGGGGGCCGGUGGCGCUGAGCGCGGUACAGCGCAGGAACCGGGCGCAACGCUGCACGCAGGGACCCAGCCUUGGCGGUAGACGUCUCGUCGCCAUCGGGGCGCCUGGCAUGUCCUUGCGAGGAAGCUGGGGGGCUCGCCGGCGUUGUCUGCCCAGCGAUCGCAGCCUUCCCCAGCGGAGCCGCGCUCGCGGAAACGGGCGAGUCACCUUCCCUGCGCUGCGCUUCUGCCUGGCUCUCGCGGCCUGGGCUCCGCGCGCAGGCUGCCCAGCCGGCCUAGGGAAAGGAUUCUGACAGCAAACCAGGCUCUGCAGGGGAAGGACAGCAGUUACCAUGCCCUUGGAGAGGGGGCCAAGGGGCCUUGGAGCCUCAGGAAUGUGGCAGAUGGAGGCUCUCUCCCAACCCCUGAUCUCCACCCAGGCGGGAGAUAAAGAUGGAGCUCAGCAAGGUUACCGCAUGUCCUAGGUCACCCUGCAGAGCAAGGAUACCAACCCAGGUCUGACUGCAGGACCAGGGAUUUAAGCCCCAACCACAGGAUGAGAGAGACAGCAGUAGACAAGGCAGAGACCCUCUGCCUGCAGAUUUGGAAUCGUGGUCAGGAUUUGAACCCAAACUCCACCAUGUAGGGAUGUUACAUGAGCUGUUUGUGCCUUAGUUUCAUCUCUUUUGGGGGAGCGGUUGUUGGUGGGCUUAUUUUCCCCCAGCUUUAUUGAGAUAUAAUUGAAACAUAACAUUGUGUAAGUU
Long non-coding RNA from Hipposideros armiger (great roundleaf bat), 919 nucleotides. RefSeq lists it as uncharacterized. The transcript has 4 exons. NCBI's taxonomy places the organism in Eukaryota, Metazoa, Chordata, Mammalia, Chiroptera, Hipposideridae. The record is from RefSeq and is a predicted model, not a curated record.